GUGUGAGAGCUGUGCAACAGUCGGGGUGUGUGUGGGUGUGUGUGUGUGGGUUGGUGACAGGUGUUUUGCAGGACCGGUGUUAAGCUGUAAGUGUUUUCCCAACCCGAGCCCUAUUCCUGGUGAACACAGAUGCUCGCAGACACAAACGCCGCCAUGUUUUAAGAUCCGAGUGACUGCUUGCUGCUACGCCCAUGAAGCUCCUCCAUCAGAACCGGGAGGUCCUCAGGAAGAAGCUGGAUCAGAGAAGAGGGAAGUCACCUCUGCGGGAGAUUGGCCAUCUUUGCACACUUAAAAGUUCAAAUCACACACUAAGUUUUUGUUUCAAAGCCAGCUGAUAA
This is a long non-coding RNA of Xiphophorus hellerii (green swordtail), 338 nucleotides long. RefSeq lists it as uncharacterized. The record is from RefSeq and is a predicted model, not a curated record. Lineage: Eukaryota; Metazoa; Chordata; Actinopteri; Cyprinodontiformes; Poeciliidae. The transcript is spliced from 2 exons.